RNAcentral lists this small RNA (92 nucleotides) under Arabidopsis thaliana (thale cress). RNAcentral describes it as "ATSL100490". Lineage: Eukaryota; Viridiplantae; Streptophyta; Magnoliopsida; Brassicales; Brassicaceae. The record is from RNAcentral.
CUUAUAAAUCGUGUUUUAAAGAUUUUUAGCCGUUUUAAAAAGAUAGGCAGUGUUAGAUAUGUAUUUACAAGGGAUUUUAAAGACUUCUUAAU